This 250-nucleotide ribosomal RNA is filed under the name uncultured Sphingobium sp. Its description in RNAcentral is "partial 16S ribosomal RNA". It matches the Rfam family "Bacterial small subunit ribosomal RNA", at positions 61 to 339 of the family's 1533-position model. The record is from RNAcentral. Lineage: Bacteria; Pseudomonadati; Pseudomonadota; Alphaproteobacteria; Sphingomonadales; Sphingobiaceae.
GUCGAACGAGAUCUUCGGAUCUAGUGGCGCACGGGUGCGUAACGCGUGGGAAUCUGCCCUUGGGUUCGGAAUAACUUCUGGAAACGGAAGCUAAUACCGGAUGAUGACGUAAGUCCAAAGAUUUAUCGCCCAAGGAUGAGCCCGCGUAGGAUUAGCUAGUUGGUGGGGUAAAGGCCCACCAAGGCGACGAUCCUUAGCUGGUCUGAGAGGAUGAUCAGCCACACUGGGACUGAGACACGGCCCAGACUCC